AUGGAAGAGCGCCUGCACGUCGCCGUCGCCAAGGAGAUAGAGCGGGACCUGCGCGCCGACUCCCGGCGGGCCCGGGACAACAUCGAGGGCUGGUGGAGGAAGAUCAUUGAGGACGCUUUCCGCGUGGUGGACAACGAGGUGGCCGCUGGUGGCCGUGGUGGCAUCCAUGCUCCUGCGCGCGUUGCCUGCGGGGCUCUCGUCGUGCUGGUUCUCGAGGACUACUUAGUGCUCGCCAACCGCGGCGCUUCUAGGGCCGUGAUCUACCGCGGCCUUGAGGCUGUGCCGCUCACCCCCGAGCACACGGCUAUGCCACAAAAUGCAGGAGGUGAUGUGGUUGGAUCUACCAGCAGAGUUGAAGACGUUAUGCCUCCUCACGCGUUUUUUGGUAGCUCAAAGAUUAUGGCUACUGCCCCAGAACCAGAGGUCGUCGCGGUGAAGCGGAAGCCACGGGACAAGUUCCUGAUCCUGGCCACCCGCGGGCUCUGGGACGUCGUCACUCCAGGCGACGCGUGCACCUUCAUCGAGAAAAGAUUGAGCGCGUACGUACCGCGGAUCAUCAUGUCGUCGGACAAGAAGCCAACGAACAGCAACCGCUCUCCCUGUGCCAACAUACUCUGCCAAUGA
This 624-nucleotide ribosomal RNA is filed under the name Triticum aestivum (bread wheat). RNAcentral's name for it is "partial small subunit ribosomal RNA". Lineage: Eukaryota; Viridiplantae; Streptophyta; Magnoliopsida; Poales; Poaceae. The record is from RNAcentral.